UACGUAGGGUGCGAGCGUUGUCCGGAAUUAUUGGGCGUAAAGGGCUCGUAGGCGGUUUGUCGCGUCGGGAGUGAAAACUCAGGGCUUAACCCUGAGCCUGCUCCCGAUACGGGCAGACUAGAGGUAUGCAGGGGAGAACGGAAUUCCUGGUGUAGCGGUGAAAUGCGUAGAUAUCGGAAGGAACACCAGUGGCGAAAGCGGCUUCCUGGUCCAGCACCGACAUUCAGGCACGAAAGCGUGGGGAGCAAACAGG
This 253-nucleotide ribosomal RNA is filed under the name uncultured bacterium. Its description in RNAcentral is "partial 16S ribosomal RNA". It matches the Rfam family "Bacterial small subunit ribosomal RNA", at positions 524 to 776 of the family's 1533-position model. The record is from RNAcentral.